UCAAUUUUAUAAUUGUAGCUUUAUUUUGUAAUUAUUAAGUUAAAAUCGCGAUGUUUUUAUAUACAUUGCGUACUAGUGCGUUUAUUAUGUCUCCUAAUUGAUAUAAAAACAUUUUUUAUGGACGGAAAUGGAAGGUUUCAACCCAAAAUGUUUACAUUUAUCUUUUAAGAUUUUCAUAACCUCAACCUAAGGAUAAAUUCUUUUUGGUUUGAAAUAACACUUAUUUUAACUUGAUUUGUAAAAACUUCCAAGAAUUCCAACUCCAGGUAAAAAGUUUUGACCCAAACCCCCCAAAAUUAUCUUAGUUAAGCGAAAACUUCCAACCAAAAUGAAACUCACUUUCUUAACCCAAAUCGUCCUCAUCAUCUUAAUCAAAUCAAUUCUUAUCGACGCCGAAUUAAUUAAAUCGUCAAAUUCGCCCAAUUCAACAUCAUUAGAAUCAUCAAAAAAAUUCCCUCUCACUUUAACCUUAAUAACAUCCGCUGUGAUCACAAUAGGACUCAUUUUGUUACUUUUCCUAUACCAACCGUAUUUCGCGUACGUUUUGUGCCAUUUAACCGGAAAUUGUGACGAUUUAUUGAGCGAAUACUUCGACCAUUACAUCCGGAAAUUCCAGGAAGGGAUCGAGUUGGAUCAGAACGAUUUAAAUUUAAAUCAUAAAAAUGAACGGAACGGAUUAUUUAAACGUGAAAUCAAAGAUGAUGUAUCGAUGGCGAUGAAAAAAUUGGGGCCGUUAAUCGAAAUGUUUGGCAUAGCUUAUGAUAAUUAUUUUGCGAUGGGAGAAAAAAAAAUUCGAAUGUUCUCGAAAUCGUCCGCAAGAUAGCGCUGGGUGUUCGAAUGCUUCCGGUCGUUUUACAUAUUGUUAAGAUAGGGACGUUUAUUUUGCAUUUAAUGAUGCAGUUGGUGGCGAUGUUGCAGUAUUUGCUCGAUUUAUUUUAUAAGUUUUAAAAUUAAAA
This 956-nucleotide long non-coding RNA is filed under the name Onthophagus taurus. RNAcentral describes it as "uncharacterized LOC111415606". The record is from RNAcentral. Lineage: Eukaryota; Metazoa; Arthropoda; Insecta; Coleoptera; Scarabaeidae.